Long non-coding RNA from Papaver somniferum (opium poppy), 6896 nucleotides. RefSeq lists it as uncharacterized. NCBI's taxonomy places the organism in Eukaryota, Viridiplantae, Streptophyta, Magnoliopsida, Ranunculales, Papaveraceae. The record is from RefSeq and is a predicted model, not a curated record. The transcript has 2 exons.
CUUCUCUUAUUUGUUAGUAAAUCUUUAUCUUAGGUGUUAGAUUUUAUUGGGUGUGAUUGUUAUAUUUUUAGCAACUACAUUCUGACGCCGACUAAGGGGACCGAGAGUCUCAAAUCCAUAGUUUAUAGCUUGGAAGUAGUUCCACUGAAGUUAGUACUUAGUACUGAUCUACUGACUACCUGAGUGUUGAAGUGUGAAGGGUAAAUGUGGAACUCGGACUAAAGAAAGCCAUCUUCAGACAUCAGACGGCAGAAAACAUCAGUAGUUCCGUGUGGGUGAACCAGAGAUACAUACAAAGAGGACCUCGACAAAAUUGGAAACAUAGAUACUUUGGCGAAGAAAAAAUCCGAAGCAGGACGAAUCUUCUUCUCAUUUAUCUCUUAUUUUUGUUUGUUAACAUUUCGAUCCGAAAGUUUUGACUACAAAUUUUCAAAAGGUGUUUUAUGGAAAACUAAGUGAUAAUUGGAAUGGUGUACGACGCUGACAGUAGAGGGAGAAUCUUACAACUGAUUUUCCUUGCCGCGAUAUGGAUUCCAUCCCACCUCUAGUCUCCAUCAUCGGGAGUUACAGGAAGAUGGAAAUUGUGAAAACACCAGCAAUUUAUUCGGAUCUCAUCAACUGAAUUACGAAGGAGAUCGUCACGAGACAAACUACCACAGUUGAACAAAGCUUAGAUUAGCCUGUUUAGAUCAUCGACAUCUCGUCAAUUUACCUCGGAUGAAUUCCAGAUUAUAAGCUGCAAUCAGCAUCAUGUCGGCUACUUCAGGGGAGUAUACAUCUCGGGCUCGGUCACAGGAGUCAAAUUCAAGACUCCAUCGAAUUUUGUUCUUUUAAAUUAACUCGUAGCAUCCAUCUCGGGUCCAACCACCUCUGGGUUCAUCGGCACAUCUCCAACCAAUGACCAUCUCGACCAAUUCUGCUUGUAGCAUCAAUGGGAAUUACAACAACUCAGCUUUGUGGAAUUCUAUAUUGGGGCGAGGCGAGUCAGUUAACUUGCUCGGAUCCAAAUCAUCUCGUGCCUAGUCAAAUCAGGACAGAUACCAGGCGAUCGGGGCUAACUACAUCGGCCGGUUCCAUUCGUUUGCAAAGCUUAAAUCGGAUCAGUUCAUAUCAGGAAAGGUGAACCUCAUCGGCCAGGGUAGUCGCUUCAGAUCAACUCGGAAAGAUCAUAGUUGACUCGCUUUGGGAACUCAGCUCGGGAAAAUGGAGUCGGCUCGUUCCAGAAUAGUACACCUUCAUCGAGACAUUCAUCCAUAACAGGGAACAUUCUUAACUCCUUAAUCCUCAUUUUUCGGGUCAUGUUGAUGAAUGUUAUUUAACAUCCUCCUCGAAUAAGUCUGGUACAAGAGCGAUCGGCUUAGUUAAAUGCAACUCCUACCUAAGAAAGCAUGAAUAGUUUUCGUUUCAAUACUUGAGAAAGCAUAUCCCUGACGUUUGCCAUGCAAAUAUGAAUUACUUCUAUUAGCUAUGAACUACAAGGUUUCAAGCUUGACUUGAUGUCCAGUCAUCGUAAAAUGGUACUGAAUGAGAAAUAUGCGAGAAGGUGAUGUCUUGUUUUAUAGUUUCGGAAGAGACCAUCCACUAUUGAUCCAUGUCUAUCCAAUAUGAACCAUGGCGCUUCAUUUAUGUAUUCUCGUUAUGACAUGAUUGAACUUGAAAUUAUAUCUGACUCCUUGAAGAGAUAUGUUGCUGAAACUUUAAGCAUUUUAAAAUUGAAUUCACUGAAAUGCUUUGUGUAAUGGCUAAUACAUAGGGAGUCUUGGUUGUGCAUUAUUGUGCACAGAUUCUGUUGCUUACUUGAUUUGAAAGCUGGUGAUAAGAUACGCAUCUAUGUAAAGUGGACAUUUUGUUGUUUCCUGAAACACUAAACUCAGUUUAAUAAAGAAUAUAAUGCAGACUCUCGUGAAUGUAAUUCGUACUAAGAAUCCAGCAGGUAUAGGCAUGAGAUAUUGCGGGAAGUAGCUUCUUCGAUCGUUUUAGGGCGUCUGUGUGUCCAAUCUUUUUAGCAUGUGUAGGGCUAUCUGUAUGUUGGUUUCUAGAUGAUGCUGUAAUGUUGAGAUAACUAGAUUUGUCAAUUUAAUUUGCGAUCCGCUCAUUGGGAAGAAAACAAGUGUAUAUAAAAGCAAUAUGAUGAAUAGAUGCCUGUAGGAUAACAAGUUAUCAGUUGGAAUGGUAAUUAGAUACACGAAUAAGCUGAGAAAGUUCAUCACCUCGUUAUGUUGGGAUUGUCGCUAUAAUCAUUUAUACUUAGGUUGUCACAAUAGCCGUUUAAAUCAUCGAAAUGCUUAAUUCUUCAAUGCAUUGUCAUUCUACUUGAACGUGUCACUUAUCUUGAUAAUUCUGUGCUGUUAGAGUUAUACCUCAACCAGAGCAUCUACAACAAUGACAUCUAGAGGGGUCAUUUGAUUUUUAUAACCAUUGCUCACCUGAAUUGAUGAUCGCAGGCGCAUAAAUCCAAUCCCGAGUAUGAAUUGAGAAGUAAAAGGACGAGCGUUGAGCGGAGACGUAGACUCCAAGGGAGGGGAAACUUUGCUCAUGGAGACGAAAAGAUCCUCUCUAACCAAACCACCAGACUUUACCCACUGAAUUUGUGGAGUAUCGGCCACUCAGCAUCGUGUAGGAUCAUCUCAGAUGGGGAUUGUUGUCAUUCACCUCAGAACAAUCUUUGGCUCGGGUCUCACCAACUUCUGGUCACUACCCCUCAUUGGGAAAAGAACUGCACAUACGAUCAAAUUGGACUUGCAUACGCUUCUUCAGAUCACCAUGAACCACAAUCUCAGACAUGAUUUCUCGGGAAGGCUCAAGAUUCCAUCUAUGGUCAACACCAGACAUGACGGCUCAACACUGGGAGAACCUACUGGAAUCAUGCAACUGAGCGGGGCAGCCACGCAGCGGAGGGUGUUGAACUCUGGCAUAAUAACGCAUCGCCGCAACGACAAUUACUUCUCUAACAUAAGGGCAGUGUCAAGAACUGUCACUUAUGAAAGUGCAGGCCAUGUGACCGGUUAUUGGAAGUCGAAGCUAAGUGUCACCUUUCCUAAACAUGAAUCUUGUCGUUAAUAAUACUUCUGUUGAUUGAGUUUCGAAUAUGCAAUCUGGUUUAUGUGUCGCUCGGGAUACUCACUUAACUGAUUCGUCGUUGCAGGAAAAAGGAUGUUGUCUUUAAUUGUAAAUCGACCCUUCAACGAAAUCAUCUGGGAAGAUUCUGUUAUGAACGAUCGUUUCGGAUCAACCAUCUUGGAGUUAACCACACUAGUCUGCUCAUGGAACAUCAUUUCGUCUAAGGGAGCUAUCUUGGAGUAAAUAGUUCAGGCCAAUCAACUCGGAAAGCAACGAAGUAGUAUCUCAAGCUGCACCUACUCGCGCCAGAUCACAUCGGGGCACAUACAAUCCGCUCUGACUCCACUAUCUCAAACCAGAAGUAUCUAUGACCGACGCAUAUCGGGCAAUCAUUCUCUCCGGGAGACAACUCAGAACACUUCUCCUAACACAUCCCAGCACACAAAAGCUCGCCGUGAUGCCGAAGUUAUCUCAUGAAUGGCACCAAUAAAGUUUAGGGCAGCUCCGGAUUUUACAAUUCAAGAAUUACCCAGGCCAUCUCUGGCCUCAGCUCCAGAUAAACUUGUCUUGAAAUGUCAAAUUGGACAUCACACUUUCCUUCUCUUAACCUUUGAUUCCCUUUGAUUGCUGCUUGCAUGACAUACUCUAAUGAAUGUGUCCAGGCCAUAGGAAUUCAUUAAGACUAGUUAUGAUUGAGAUACCCAUACUCAUGUUUGAAUUGAACGUCAAGAUGCCAUCAAUAUUUUCUUAAUACAUUAAACGAUCGGGUGUAUGUCUAGCUUGACCUUAGUAUGUGGCCAAGCAGCCUUAGGCAGCUACUUGAUGGGAAUAAACUUAAACAUUUUGAUUGAGACUCGAAAAUCGGCUCUGCAUAUGUAAUCAUCUUGAUAAAAGUAAACUGUUGGAGUGCAUGAUUUUUCGGAUUCAUCCUACAGUUACUUACCUUUUUGAAUCCACAGGAGGUCUGAAAGGUCGAUGAGGAGACUUUAAUCGCUUGGAGGGUGUACACAAUGGAUGCACGACGUAAUGAUCCAGUUUGCUUGAGUCUGCGAAAUUCAUUCGGGUAUGCCAGUCGGACUAUUAACAACAAUCAGUCAUCUCGGGACAAAUCAAUGUACCAGUUGCUGCGCCUACUCGUGUCAGUUCGUAUCGGGUCAUAUCCAAUCCGUUUCGGGUCCUUGCAGCGAACACUUCCUCGUUGCGAAUGAUCAUCACUCGAACCGAUCACAUUGUCGAUUCCAGCUUGCAAGACUCAUCAACUUACGAGCAACACCUAAAGAAGGGGGCGUAUCCUUGCACUCUUUUCUCCGACCUUUACUAGCUAAUACAUUGGACGAUAUCUACUGCAAAAACCCUUAGCAGAGCCUAGAUAAGUUAAGAAGAACGAAAUAACAUCCGCUACCCACAUGAGAAAUAUGAAAAUUUUCUGCACCAACUUGGAUAUUCAGAUAAAAUGGAUUCUUGUUAUUUAGUAUCAUGAUAUGAAUUGCUUUAUUUCUAGCAGCCAGGAAUUAAGAAUCCAAGAGCUUAAUUGAAUACCUAUUGGAAGUGUGAAGUAAUAGGGGAAAGUUUCGGCCGAGACGUGAUCUGUAUAACCCGAACAAAUCGGAUCGCAGAACACCCGAUCAAAAUGAUGAUGGUCAACAGACUCAAUUAAAACAACCGCUUCGAACAAUUUCGUCACAGCAGUCAACCCAGCUUCACCGAGAUAUAUCAAUCAGUCGUGGACGUCACAUUAAAAGGUACCUUUGAGGCUAAUCGGGCGAGAUACGCCGGCGACAUGAUGGUGAGCAUCGAUAUUGGAAUGGUCGUGAACCGAAAUAGCAGUAAUCAAUUCUCUUCCCAAUUAGUCUACAAGCGUGGGAGAUUCGGCGAUACUUGGAGCAAUGUGUGACUGAGAUAUUCCUCUAGCAUGUGACGCAGAACGGACAAGGAGCAAAUGAUGUUCCGAAGAUAAUCACUUGAACCACAAGGCUAUGCCAACUAUGUUCAGUACUCAACUACUUCGGACCAGACACGUCACGGAUUAGUGCAUAUUGGGCCUUCGUCUAUCUUAGAACCUACUCAUGACUACUUCCUCUCCAUUUCGAUAAAUUGGAAGCUCGGGCCAACAAGCAACCACUCGGGCAUACCUUUCAUCGGACGAGAACGGAUCAUUCCCAGCUUGGGAUCGAUUACCUCACAGCAACAGCUGACCAUGUGAACAUAUAACUUCGGGAGAUUACACGACUGUUUGCCUAUCGAAUUCCUUAUCCGUGAACGCACCAAGCCUAACUACCAGUGCGACGCUAUCUCACCUUGCCGAGAACAAUCGACUACGGAUGCAAUGCAGGACUCUUACUAUCUUAACACGAAACGUAUAGUCAGGGUAAAACCGGAAACGGACGAAACCGGACAAACGAGGACAAACGGUAGAGAAGGCAUUUUUCGGGAGACAACUGAUAACUCCAACAUCAAGGAAAGAACUUGCAAAUCGUGGCAACGAAACGGGACCGAAAUUGAAUAUCCGUGGAACAUAGUGUACUGCAUGAAACGUACAGCGGUAAGGCGAUGGCAUGAUAAACGCAGCGAUACCAUUCGUAUUUGGGUCAUCCAACGGAAUGGCCCGAGAUGGUCUAAGACUUCUGACUCCAACUUAGACUACACAGGCUUUGGAAAAUAAUAACCUGGGGGACGCCUUGGGUUGUUAGUGUACUGUAACACACAGGUCAUUCGUAAUCGGGUCAUCAAACGGAAUGAUCCGAGGUGAUCUAACUUGUCAUUUAUUUCCUUAAAACCACGAGGGGUAGGAAAUAUGACAUGAGCGACUAAUGGUCAUUCGUACUCGAGUCGACGCCAGUGUGGAAGUGCCGAGGUGACUUACACUCGAAUGGUCAUUCGUACACGGGGCAACGCCAAUGUGGAAGUGCCGAGUUGUCUUACACUCGAAUGGUCAUUCGUACUCGGGGCAAUUCCGGUGUGGAAGUGCCGAGGUGGAUUACAGUCGACUGGCUAUUCGAUACUCAGGGCAGUGGCAGUAUGCAAGUGCCGAGGUAGCCUAAGGGUUCCGGUGGUUGGAAACCAGUUCCAAAGAUUGUUAAGAUACGAUUUCUUCUCGGCCAGGUAACCUACUUACAUUGGAAAGGUUACCCCAUCGCAAGUGGCCGUGACCACUUUCCCGAGAUGGUUGGUCGAUAACCACUCGGGACCAUCGAGACAUAGCACCUAGGAAAGACCUAAUACACUUUCACUGAAUCUAAAAGAAGUGAUGAGAUACCUCAACCGGGACAUGGCAUUGGGCCCGAUGACCCUCCAUGUUGAGUGUGUUCGACAAAUAUGGAAUAUUAACUAAUGCCUACUUCGAGAUGAUUUGUAUUGCAGGAAGACGAGCAUCCUAGGACUACGAACGGUCAUGAAUGAAAGGUAAGACGAGUAUGUUAAGGUCACAGCCCCUACAACAAGGGAGUAAAACCGGUGACGCAGCUUGAAAGCUUGGUAAUAUCCAUAUGAAUGAUCGCAACUGAAGGGGCAUCAUAACUUUAGCAGUGGACUUACCUUGUCAAUGGCAAGUGAUACUUGAAUGAUUCAGUCGGGAACAACACUAUCGGGAUCACGCACAAAGGGAUCGCAACGUAUAUCAGUGACGGCAACAUGAGCUACCCAAGUCCUUCAAAUUUGUGAACAGUACUGCAAUGCAUCGCCUUCUCUUAUUAAGCUUUAAAUUGAUAUUAUUUUGUGUUAAUCGGUAUUUAUUACUAAGGUCCGGCAGAAAGUCCAAUCGAAUGAAAAUGCUACGAGAAAGUUGGAACAACAUGUGAUACCUAUUAUGAUUAUAUUAAUUUUUCCGGUUUAACAAA